Molecule: non-coding RNA, 750 nt
Filed under: Sacculina confragosa
Lineage: Eukaryota; Metazoa; Arthropoda; Thecostraca; Sacculinidae
Source: RNAcentral
UAAGGUGGGGCUUGCACUAGAAAAUAGUUAGGGCUAAGACAGGUAUGUAUAAUAAUUAAGAAUGUUAGAGUAUUUAUGUAAAUAAAAUAUAUCUUUAUUUAGUUAAAUAAGGUGAGAUUUAUAAAAUUUCUGAAUAUUUUCAGCCUAUAGUAUUAAAGUAAAUUUUAAUGGGGAUUUAGCUAUAGCCUGAGUAGUUAGUAAAAAAGUGCCAGCACUAGCGGUUAUACUUUUACUGCGAAUUAUUUGUUUAAUAAAGAUUUUGGAUUAAUCAGUAAAAUUGGAUGAAAUCUUUUUUAUGAAAUCUGUUUGAAUUAGGAUAAAGGAAUAGGAUUAGAUACCCUAGUACUCUUAAUAAUAAAUUCUUUAAUUAAUAAGAUUUCUUAAAAUUUAAGUCUUGGCGGCGAAUAAACCAACUAGAGGGUCUUGUUUAUGUAAAUGAUAAUACACAUUUAAUCGUACUUAUAUAAUAAAUUAUUAAUAUGCCGUCGUAAAGGAAUGUUAAAAAUAAUUUUCCGGUUAAUUCUGAAAUUUUAUUACAGAUAAGGCGUUAAGGAUAUAUGAGUUUGAAUGAGACACAGGUAAUAUAGUUAGAAUUUAUAAUUGAAAAAUAUAAAUGAGUAGAAUUUAGUAGUAGUGAUGUUUAAUUUAAAUAUUGCGAAAUGAGUUAAUAUUCGUGUACAUAUCGCCCGUCAAUCCUUUGUUUAUGGGAGGAUAAGUCGUAACAAGGUAAAUAUUCUGGAAAGAGUAUUU